CCUACGGGAGGCAGCAGUGGGGAAUAUUGGGCAAUGGGCGCAAGCCUGACCCAGCAACGCCGCGUGAAGGAAGAAGGCUCUCGGGUUGUAAACUUCUUUUGACAGGGAAGAGUAGAAGACGGUACCUGUCGAAUAAGCCACGGCUAACUACGUGCGAGCACCCGCGGGAAUACGUAGGGGGCAAGGGUUGUCCGGAUUUAUGGGGUGUAAAGGGCGUGUAGCCGGGUUGACAAGUCAGUUGUGAAAGCCUGCGGCUUAACCGCAGAACUGCAUUUGAAACUGUUGAUCUUGAGUACUGGAGAGGCAGACGGAAUUCCUAGUGUAGCGGUGAAAUGCGUAGAUAUUAGGAGGAACACCAGUGGCGAAGGCGGUCUGCUGGACAGCAACUGACGGUGAGGCGCGAAAGCGUGGGGAGCAAACAGGAUUAGAUACCCUGGUAGUC
RNAcentral lists this ribosomal RNA (442 nucleotides) under uncultured bacterium. RNAcentral's name for it is "partial 16S ribosomal RNA". It matches the Rfam family "Bacterial small subunit ribosomal RNA", at positions 338 to 795 of the family's 1533-position model. The record is from RNAcentral.